GUGGGGAAUAUUGCGCAAUGGGGGAAACCCUGACGCAGCAACGCCGCGUGAAGGAUGAAGGUUUUCGGAUCGUAAACUUCUUUGAUGGGGGACGAACAAUGACGGUACCCCAAAAACAAGCCACGGCUAACUACGUGCCAGCAGCCGCGGUAAUACGUAGGUGGCGAGCGUUGUCCGGAAUUACUGGGUGUAAAGGGCGUGUAGGCGGGAAUACAAGUCAGAUGUGAAAUACCGUGGCUCAACCACGGGGCUGCAUCUGAAACUGUAUUUCUUGAGUGUCGGAGAGGAAAGUGGAAUUCCCAGUGUAGCGGUGAAAUGCGUAGAUAUUGGGAGGAACACCAGUGGCGAAGGCGACUUUCUGGACGACAACUGACGCUGAGGCGCGAAAGCGUGGGGAGCAAACAGGAUUAGAAACCCCUGUAGUCC
RNAcentral lists this ribosomal RNA (426 nucleotides) under uncultured bacterium. Its description in RNAcentral is "bacterial SSU rRNA". It matches the Rfam family "Bacterial small subunit ribosomal RNA", at positions 354 to 796 of the family's 1533-position model. The record is from RNAcentral.